UGCAAGUCGCACGAGAAAGGUUCCUUCGGGAGCUGAGUAAAGUGGCGGACGGGUGAGUAAUGCAUAGACAACCUACCCUUGAGAUGGGGACAACACUCCGAAAGGAGUGCUAAUACCCAAUACUGUCAUUCGCCUGCGGGCGCAUGAUGAAAGGAGGCCUCUGUUUUAAGCUUCCGCUCAGGGAGGGGUUUAUGUCCUAUUAGCUUGUUGGUGAGGUAAAGGCUCACCAAGGCGACGAUGGGUAGCCGGCCUGAGAGGGUGUUCGGCCACAUUGGGACUGAGACACUGCCCAGACUCCUACGGGAGGCUGCAGUCGAGAAUCUUCCGCAAUGCGCGCAAGCGCGACGGAGCGACGCCGCGUGGGUGAUGAAGGCCUUCGGGUUGUAAAACCCUGUCAGUUGCCAAGAAUUGCGGGUCGUGAAUAGCGAUCCCGUUUGACUAAGCAGCAGAGGAAGCACCGGCUAAAUACGUGCCAGCAGCCGCGGUAAUACGUAUGGUGCAAACGUUGUUCGGAAUCACUGGGCUUAAAGCGGGCGUAGGCGGUUUGGUAAGUCUGUUGUGAAAGCCCUCGGCUCAACCGAGGAACUGCAACGGAUACUGCCAAACUAGAGUGCAGGAGGGGAGAGUGGAAUUCCUGGUGGA
Molecule: ribosomal RNA, 642 nt
Filed under: uncultured bacterium
Lineage: Bacteria
Description: bacterial SSU rRNA
Rfam family: Bacterial small subunit ribosomal RNA
Source: RNAcentral